AACCAAAGUGUUGAGUUCAGUUCAGGGUCUUGUCCCUGUUCUGGUAAUUAAGCUUUGGGACAGAAAUGACUGAGAAGUGCACCCUGGUGACUGAAAGCUUGCUUUAUGCCACCUGUGUUUCUCAGCCUACAAAC
This 134-nucleotide small nucleolar RNA is filed under the name Phasianus colchicus (ring-necked pheasant). Lineage: Eukaryota; Metazoa; Chordata; Aves; Galliformes; Phasianidae. The record is from RNAcentral.